GCUGGUGGCGCGGUGCAGGGCUCUUAAGAACGAACGGCUUGGGCGCGGACUGGUAUCCGGGGACUGUGACUUGCAGGGUCCGCCAUGGAGCCAGAGCAGAUGCUGGAGGGACAAACGCAGGUUGCAGAAAAUCCUCACUCUGAGUACGGUCUCACAGACAACGUUGAGAGGAUAGUAGAAAAUGAGAAGAUUAAUGCAGAAAAGUCAUCAAAGCAAAAGGUAGAUCUCCAGUCUUUGCCAACUCGUGCCUACCUGGAUCAGACAGUUGUGCCUAUCUUAUUACAGGGACUUGCUGUGCUUGCAAAGGAAAGAUGAGGAAACAGACUUGGAGAGGUUAAGUGACAUGCUCAAGACAACACUGCUGAGGGGGUUUCACCGUGUUGCCCAGGCUGGUUGCGAACUCCUGAGCUCAGGCAAUCUGUCUGCCUCGGCCUCCCAACGUGCUAGGAUUACAGGCGUGAGCCACCGCGCCCAGCCAAUGUUUUUUUUUUUUUUUUUUUUUUUUUAAGAGGUGAGGUCUCACUAUGUUGCCCAG
This 535-nucleotide small RNA is filed under the name Pongo abelii (Sumatran orangutan). RNAcentral describes it as "processed transcript". Lineage: Eukaryota; Metazoa; Chordata; Mammalia; Primates; Hominidae. The record is from RNAcentral.